This 253-nucleotide ribosomal RNA is filed under the name uncultured bacterium. Its description in RNAcentral is "partial 16S ribosomal RNA". It matches the Rfam family "Bacterial small subunit ribosomal RNA", at positions 524 to 776 of the family's 1533-position model. The record is from RNAcentral.
UACGUAGGGUGCGAGCGUUGUCCGGAAUUAUUGGGCGUAAAGAGCUCGUAGGCGGUUUGUCGCGUCGACUGUGAAAACCUACAGCUUAACUGUGGGCUUGCAGUCGAUACGGGCAGACUUGAGUUCGGUAGGGGAGACUGGAAUUCCUGGUGUAGCGGUGAAAUGCGCAGAUAUCGGGAGGAACACCGGUGGCGAAGGCGGUUCUCUGGGCCUGUACUGACGCUGAGGAGCGAAAGCGUGGGGAGCGAACAGG